UACGGGAGGCAGCAGGCGCGCAAAUUACCCAAUCCUGACACAGGGAGGUAGUGACAAUAAAUAACAAUACAGGGCUCUUUGAGUCUUGUAAUUGGAAUGAGUACAAUUUAAAUCCCUUAACGAGGAACAAUUGGAGGGCAAGUCUGGUG
This 149-nucleotide ribosomal RNA is filed under the name uncultured bacterium. Its description in RNAcentral is "partial 16S ribosomal RNA". It matches the Rfam family "Eukaryotic small subunit ribosomal RNA", at positions 417 to 566 of the family's 1831-position model. The record is from RNAcentral.